Equus caballus (horse) is the source of this 2021-nucleotide long non-coding RNA. The record is from Ensembl. Lineage: Eukaryota; Metazoa; Chordata; Mammalia; Perissodactyla; Equidae.
GUCACCUAACAAUAUGUUUCUCAGAAUGUAUCCCUGUCGUUAAGAGAAACAUGGCUGUAUAUACACACUUUAUUGAGCUAUCGUUCACAUAUAACAAAAUUGACCUAUUUUAAGUGCACAGUUUGAUGAAUCUUGACAAAUGUAUAUAAAUCAUUUAACUACCAUCACAAUCAAGAUAUGGACUAUUUUCAUCACCCCACAAAGUUCCUCCGUGGGUCAUUGUAUUCAAUCCCGUCGCUCUCCCCAUCUGCCCCUGGCAACAACUGGUCUACUUUCUGUCUCUAUAUUUUUUCCUUUUCUAGGAUUAAAAAUAAAUAGAAUAAUGUCAUAGUCAGCAUAAUGCUCUUGAGAAUCAUUCCUUUUUGUUACUAAAUAGGAUUCCAUUCUACGGAUAUAUCAUUAUUUGUUUAUUCACUCACUGAUUGAUGGAUGUCUGGGUUGUUUCCAAUUUGCGGGUUAUUGUGUAUACAGUAGCUAUCAGUUUAAUGUAUAAGACUUGGUGUGGCCCUAUAUUUUCAUUGUUUUAGUUAAAUAUUUAGAAGAGGGAUUUCUUGUUGUAUGGUAAGGAUGUAUUUAACUUUGAUUAAAAAUUGUCGAUGUGUUUUGCAAAGUGGUUGAAUAAUCUAAAUUCUCACCAGCGAAGAAUGAGAAUUCCAGUUUCUCUGCAUCCUCAUCAAUAAAAAUAUUGUCAGCCUUUUAAAUUUUUCCCAUUCCAGUGGCUACAUCGUGAUAUCUUUUUGUGUUUUAAUUUGCAUUUCCUUAACGACUGGUGAUGUCGAGCAUUUUUUUCAUGGGCUGCUUGCCAUCCUUCAAGCUGGGAAGUAUUUGUUCAAAUCUUUUGUCUGUCUUGUUUUUUACCAGUUGACUUUUUUUUUUAUCUUACUGAAUUGUAAAAGUUCAUUUUAUAUUCUGCUAAAAGUCCUUUAUCAGAUAUAUAUUUUCUCCCAGGAUGUGACUUCCCUUUUUAUUUUCUAACACUGUCUUUCAAAGGGCAAAAAUUUUAAAUUUUGAUUUAUCAAAUCCAAUUAUCAAAUUUUUCGUUGAUGAUUUAAAUUUCUGUGCCCUAUCUGAGAAAUCUUUUUUCUUUUUUUAACUCAAAUUCACAAAUAGGUUUUCCUAUGUUUUCUUCAGGAAGUUUUAUACUUUGAGCUCCUAGAUUUAGGUGUUUGAUCCAUUUUGAAUUAUUUUUUUAAGAUGAUGUAAGGUUGAGUUUUAGAUUCAGUCUGACGUUGCAUUAAGCAUAUAGCUCAAUUUAGAAAGAACUGACAUCUUAGUAUUGAAUCUUCUUGUUCAUGAAAUGGUGUAUGUCUCCAUUUAUUUGGGUUUUGUGUAACUUUUGUCAGCAGUUUUUCAGUUUUCAGUAUAUUUCACUUCCCAAUUGUUUGUUGUUUAUAUAUAGAAAUGCAAUUGAUUUUUGUUGUUGAUCUUGUAUCUUGCAACCUUGCUCAAUUCCCUUAUGAGUUCUAGUAGUUUUUUGGUGGACUUCUUAGAAUUCGAUCAUGCCAUUUAUGAUAAAACAGAGUUUUCUUUCUUUUUACCCAAUUUUAUUCCUUUUUCUUCUUGUCUUGUUACACUGGCUAGGCACAAUAUGAGUAGAAGUGGCGAGGAUGGACAUCUUACUUUAUUCCUCAACGUACAUAUUCCUACUUUUGUAACUAUGUAUCAUGUGAGCUGUAGAUUUUUAGUGGAUACGCUUUAUCAAGUUGAAGAAGCUUCCUUCUAGUCACAGUUGGCAGAGUUUUUAUAAUGAACGGGUGUUGAAUUUUGUCAAAUGCUUAUUCUGCAUCAAUUUGAGGUGAUCAUACGGGUUUUCUUUUUAAACUUGUUAAUAUGGUUAAUUACAUUGAUUGAUUUUUUUAAUAUUAAACCAAUCUUGAAUUCCUGAUAAACCUCACUUGGUCAUGAAGUAUUAUCCUUUUAUAUAUUGAUGGAUUUGAUUUGCUAAAAUUUUGUUAAGGAUUUUUGCAAUUGUGUUGUAUUAGUUUCCUGUUGCCUCUGUAACAGAUUACCAUAAAUUUAGU